CUGAUCUCAAAUCAUGGUAGGGACUACCCCGCUGAACU
Molecule: ribosomal RNA, 38 nt
Filed under: Thanatephorus cucumeris
Lineage: Eukaryota; Fungi; Basidiomycota; Agaricomycetes; Cantharellales; Ceratobasidiaceae
Description: partial 25S ribosomal RNA
Source: RNAcentral